RNAcentral lists this ribosomal RNA (496 nucleotides) under uncultured bacterium. Its description in RNAcentral is "partial 16S ribosomal RNA". It matches the Rfam family "Bacterial small subunit ribosomal RNA", at positions 29 to 507 of the family's 1533-position model. The record is from RNAcentral.
AUGCACGCUGGCGGCGUGCCUCAUACCUGCCAGUCGAGCGAACGGACGAGAAGCUUGCUUUUCUGAUGUUAGCGGCGGACGGGUGAGUAACACGUGGAUAACCUACCUAUAAGUCUGGGAUAACUUCGGGAAACCGGAGCUAAUACCGGAUAAUAUUUUGAACCGCAUGGUUCAUAAGUGAAAGACGGUCUUGCUGUCACUUAUAGAUGGAUCCGCGCUGCAUUAGCUAGUUGGUAAGGUAACGGCUUACCAAGGCAACGAUGCAUAGCCGACCUGAGAGGGUGAUCGGCCACACUGGAACUGAGACACGGUCCAGACUCCUACGGGAGGCAGCAGUAGGGAAUCUUCCGCAAUGGGCGAAAGCCUGACGGAGCAACGCCGCGUGAGUGAUGAAGGUCUUCGGAUCGUAAAACUCUGUUAUUAGGGAAGAACAUAUGUGUAAGUAACUGUGCACAUCUUGACGGUACCUAAUCAGAAAGCCACGGCUAACUACGUG